GGUAGGGGGUGGGGGGAGGGGGGAAGAUGGGAUGCGGAGAUGGGGAUGAAUCCGGGACCUACGGCGGAUGGGGUGCGAGCACCGGCGGUGGGGCUGGACUGCAGGAGCCGUCGGCGGCAGAUGCGUCAAGCGGCGGUGGUGGAUGCGUCAAGCGGCGGUGGUGGAUGCGAGGAGCAGAGGAGUGUGAGUGCGAGUGCGGGAAGCGUAGGAAGGAUGCGGGGAGCAGAGGAGUGUGGGUGCGAGUGUGGCAUGUUGGAGGUAUGCCCUAGAGGCAAUCAUAGAGAUGAUGAUAUUCCAUUUGUAUCCAUGAUUUAUAUUGUGUUCCUUGAAUAUCCAUUAAAGGCUACUUGAAUUGAUUUGCAAUUAUGUGAAUUGUGUGUGAAACUCUUUACUUGUAUGGUUAUUCUAAAGUUGUCCCUAGUCGGAGUUCAUGUGAGGACACACAUGAAUAUUAGACUAGCACAUGUAUUAGUUGAUGACUAUGUUUCACAAGUCAUGGACAUGGAGAUGUUG
Molecule: long non-coding RNA, 513 nt
Filed under: Setaria viridis
Lineage: Eukaryota; Viridiplantae; Streptophyta; Magnoliopsida; Poales; Poaceae
Description: long non-coding RNA (SVIR_LNC006646)
Source: RNAcentral